GCGUGCGCAGGCGGUUCCGCAAGACAGAUGUGAAAUCCCCGGGCUUAACCUGGGAACUGCAUUUGUGACUGCGAGACUAGAGUGUAGCAGAGGGGGGUAGAAUUCCACGUGUAGCAGUGAAAUGCGUAGAUAUGUGGAGGAAUACCGAUGGCGAAGGCAGCCCCCUGGGCUAACACUGACGCUCAUGCACGAAAGCGUGGGGAGCAAACAGGAUUAGAUACCCUGGUAGUCCACGCCCUAAACGAUGUCAACUAGGUGUUGGGGAAGGAGACUUCUUUAGUACCGCAGCUAACGCGUGAAGUUGACCGCCUGGGGAGUACGGUCGCAAGACUAAAACUCAAAGGAAUUGACGGGGACCCGCACAAGCCGGUGGAUUAUGUGGAUUAAUUCGAUGCAACGCGAAAAACCUUACCUACCCUUGACAUGUCAGGAAGAUUUCAGAGAUGAGAUUGUGCCCGAAAGGGAACCUGAACACAGGUGCUGCAUGGCUGUCGUCAGCUCGUGUCGUGAGAUGUUGGGUUAAGUCCCGCAACGAGCGCAACCCUUGUCAUUAAUUGCCAUCAUUUAGUUGGGCACUUUAAUGAGACUGCCGGUGAUAAACCGGAGGAAGGUGGGGAUGACGUCAAGUCCUCAUGGCCCUUAUGGGUAGGGCUUCACACGUAAUACAAUGGUCGGUACAGAGGGUUGCCAACCCGCGAGGGGGAGCCAAUCCCAGAAAGCCGAUCGUAGUCCGGAUUGUAGUCUGCAACUCGACUACAUGAAGUCGGAAUCGCUAGUAAU
Molecule: ribosomal RNA, 780 nt
Filed under: uncultured Gallionella sp.
Lineage: Bacteria; Pseudomonadati; Pseudomonadota; Betaproteobacteria; Nitrosomonadales; Gallionellaceae
Description: bacterial SSU rRNA
Rfam family: Bacterial small subunit ribosomal RNA
Source: RNAcentral